Non-coding RNA from Phrynosoma platyrhinos (Desert horned lizard), 72 nucleotides. Lineage: Eukaryota; Metazoa; Chordata; Lepidosauria; Squamata; Phrynosomatidae. The record is from the annotation of a GenBank genome assembly.
GCCAACCUAGUGCAGCGGUCUGAGUGUUGGACUAUGACUCCAGAGACCAGGGUUCAAAUCCCUGCUCAGCCA